AUUGAACGCUGGCGGCAGGCCUAACACAUGCAAGUCGAGCGGAUGAAGGGAGCUUGCUCCUGGCUUCAGCGGCGGACGGGUGAGUAAUGCCUAGGAAUCUGCCUGGUAGUGGGGGAUAACGUCCGGAAACGGGCGCUAAUACAGCAUACGUCCUGAGGUAGAAAGGGGGGGAUCUUCGGAGCUCGCGCUAUCAGCUGAGCCUAGGUCGGAUUAGCUAGUUGGUGGGGUAAAGGCCUACCAAGGCGACGAUCCGUAACUGGUCUGAGAGGAUGAUCAGUCACACUGGAACUGAGACACGGUCCAGACUCCUACGGGAGGCAGCAGUGGGGAAUCUUGGACAAUGGGCGAAAGCCUGAUCCAGCCAUGCCGCGUGUGUGAAGAAGGUCUUCGGAUUGUAAAGCACUGUAAGUUGGGAGGAAGGGCAGUAAGUUAAUACCUUGCUGUUUUGACGUUACCAACAGAAUAAGCACCGGCUAACUUCGUG
RNAcentral lists this ribosomal RNA (484 nucleotides) under uncultured bacterium. Its description in RNAcentral is "partial 16S ribosomal RNA". It matches the Rfam family "Bacterial small subunit ribosomal RNA", at positions 30 to 507 of the family's 1533-position model. The record is from RNAcentral.